UACGAAGGGGGCAAGCGUUGUUCGGAAUUACUGGGCGUAAAGGGCGCGUAGGCGGCUUAUCAAGUCAGGCGUGAAAUUCCCGGGCCCAACCUGGGGGCUGCGCUUGAUACUGAUGAGCUUGAAUGCGGGAGAGGAUAGUGGAAUUCCCAGUGUAGAGGUGAAAUUCGUAGAUAUUGGGAAGAACACCGGUGGCGAAGGCGGCUAUCUGGCCCGUAAUUGACGCUGAGGCGCGAAAGCGUGGGGAGCAAACAGG
Molecule: ribosomal RNA, 253 nt
Filed under: uncultured bacterium
Lineage: Bacteria
Description: partial 16S ribosomal RNA
Rfam family: Bacterial small subunit ribosomal RNA
Source: RNAcentral